Molecule: ribosomal RNA, 253 nt
Filed under: uncultured bacterium
Lineage: Bacteria
Description: partial 16S ribosomal RNA
Rfam family: Bacterial small subunit ribosomal RNA
Source: RNAcentral
UACGUAGGGCGCAAGCGUUGUCCGGAAUUAUUGGGCGUAAAGAGCUCGUAGGCGGCUUGUCACGUCGGGUGUGAAAGCCCGGGGCUUAACCCCGGGUCUGCAUUCGAUACGGGCUGGCUAGAGUGUGGUAGGGGAGAUCGGAAUUCCUGGUGUAGCGGUGAAAUGCGCAGAUAUCAGGAGGAACACCGGUGGCGAAGGCGGAUCUCUGGGCCUGUACUGACGCUGAGGAGCGAAAGCGUGGGGAGCGAACAGG